CCCGACUGCUAUCGGAUUGAUACUAAGCCAUGCGAGUCUUUGCAGUAAUGCAAGGCAUACGGCUCAGUAACACGUAGUCAACUUACCCUAUGGACGAGGAUAAUCUCGGGAAACUGAGCAUAAUACUCGAUAGAUCAUAAUGCCUGGAAUGGUUUAUGGUUGAAAUGAUUCGUCGCCAUAGGAUGGGACUGCGGCCUAUCAGCUUGUUGGUGAGGUAAUGGCCCACCAAGGCGAUUACAGGUACGGGCUCUGAGAGGAGAAGCCCGGAGAUGGGUACUGAGACAAGGACCCAGGCCCUAUGGGGCGCAGCAGGCGAGAAAACUUUGCAAUGUGCGAAAGCACGACAAGGUUAAUCCGAGUGAUUUCUGCUAAAGAAAUCUUUUGCAAGUCAUAAAACCACUAGUGAAUAAGGGGUGGGCAAGUUCUGGUGUCAGCCGCCGCGGUAAAACCAGCACCUCAAGUGGUCAGGAGGAUUAUUGGGCCUAAAGCAUCCGUAGCCGGCUCUGUAAGUUUUCGGUUAAAUCCAUGUGCUCAACGCAUGGGCUGCCGAAAAUACUGCAUAGCUAGGGAGUGGGAGAGGUAGACGGUACUCGGUAGGAAGGGGUAAAAUCCUUUGAUCUAUCGAUGACCACCUGUGGCGAAGGCGGUCUACCAGAACACGUUCGACGGUGAGGGAUGAAAGCUGGGGGAGCAAACCGGAUUAGAUACCCGGGUAGUCCCAGCUGUAAACGAUGCAGACUCGAUGAUGCAUUGGCAUAUAGCCAGUGCAGUGUCGCAGGGAAGCCGUUAAGUCUGCCGCCUGGGAAGUACGUACGCAAGUAUGAAACUUAAAGGAAUUGGCGGGGGAGCACCACAAGGGGUGAAGCCUGCGGUUC
This 875-nucleotide ribosomal RNA is filed under the name uncultured archaeon. RNAcentral describes it as "bacterial SSU rRNA". It matches the Rfam family "Archaeal small subunit ribosomal RNA", at positions 21 to 903 of the family's 1478-position model. The record is from RNAcentral.